Molecule: ribosomal RNA, 194 nt
Filed under: uncultured bacterium
Lineage: Bacteria
Description: partial 16S ribosomal RNA
Rfam family: Bacterial small subunit ribosomal RNA
Source: RNAcentral
ACGCUCGACACCUACGGAGGCAGCAGUGGGGAAUAUUGCACAAUGGGGGAAACCCUGAUGCAGCGACGCCGCGUGAGCGAAGAAGUAUUUCGGUAUGUAAAGCUCUAUCAGCAGGGAAGAAAAUGACGGUACCUGACUAAGAAGCCCCGGCUAACUACGUGCCAGCAGCCGUAAUCUGAGCGGGCUGGCAAGGC